CGGGAAGACCAGAUGUCCGCUGCCGGGGCGCCUCGUGCGCCUGGGGAGAGGAAAGUCCGGACACCACAGGGCGGGAUACUUCCUAACAGGAAGGUGCAGCAAUGCACAGCCAGCUCCACAGAAACAAACCGCCGAGAGUCUUAUCUGAUGUAAAUCCGUUGUGAGACCACGGUUUUGAGUUUUGGGGGACUCUUCGGCAAGGGUGAAAUGGUGGUGUAAGAGACCACCGGCGAUGACGGUGACGACAUCGGCCAGGAAAGCCUUAUCCGGUGCAAUGCCAAAUAGGGAAGCUUUAGCGCUGCCCGCGCGAUUAUGCUUCCGGGUAGGCAGCUUGAGCCCAAGCGUGAGUUUGGGCCUAGAUGGAUGGACAUCAGUCUGGGAAACCAGAUGCACAGAAUCCGGCUUAUGGUAGUCCAGGAAA
RNAcentral lists this RNase P RNA (421 nucleotides) under Candidatus Cloacimonadota bacterium. Its description in RNAcentral is "RNase P RNA component class A". It matches the Rfam family "Bacterial RNase P class A". Rfam says of the family: Ribonuclease P (RNase P) is a ubiquitous endoribonuclease, found in archaea, bacteria and eukarya as well as chloroplasts and mitochondria. RNAcentral also lists the same sequence under 1 other name. The record is from RNAcentral. Lineage: Bacteria; Pseudomonadati; Candidatus Cloacimonadota.